UUUUUGGAUACCCAGUGGGUGUUAGGCUUUUAAUCUAAAUUUGGAUAAUAUGUCCCCAUGCGG
This 63-nucleotide transfer RNA is filed under the name Pupa strigosa. RNAcentral describes it as "tRNA-Lys". Lineage: Eukaryota; Metazoa; Mollusca; Gastropoda; Acteonidae. The record is from RNAcentral.